GACGAACGCUGGCGGCGUGCUUAACACAUGCAAGUCGAGCGACGCUCUUCCUUCGGGGAGAUGACGGAGCGGCGAACGGGUGAGUAACGCGUGGGCAACCUGCCCCUAGCUCUGGGACAACACCGGGAAACCGGUGCUAAUACCGGAUACGACAUCGAGCGGCAUCUCUCGAUGUGGAAAGUUUUUUCGGCUAGGGAUGGGCCCGCGGCCUAUCAGCUUGUUGGUGGGGUAAUGGCCCACCAAGGCGACGACGGGUAGCCGGCCUGAGAGGGCGACCGGCCACACUGGGACUGAGACACGGCCCAGACUCCUACGGGAGGCAGCAGUGGGGAAUAUUGCGCAAUGGGCGAAAGCCUGACGCAGCGACGCCGCGUGAGGGAUGACGGCCUUCGGGUUGUAAACCUCUUUCAGCAGGGACGAAUUCAGACGGUACCUGCAGAAGAAGCACCGGCCAACUACGUG
RNAcentral lists this ribosomal RNA (462 nucleotides) under uncultured bacterium. Its description in RNAcentral is "partial 16S ribosomal RNA". It matches the Rfam family "Bacterial small subunit ribosomal RNA", at positions 28 to 507 of the family's 1533-position model. The record is from RNAcentral.